AAAAAGAUAAAAUUGAAGCUGCUAACUUUGAUUAGGGGGAAUUUUUCCUCCUCUUUUUU
RNAcentral lists this transfer RNA (59 nucleotides) under Planorbarius corneus. RNAcentral describes it as "tRNA-Ser". Lineage: Eukaryota; Metazoa; Mollusca; Gastropoda; Planorbidae. The record is from RNAcentral.